Molecule: ribosomal RNA, 2923 nt
Filed under: Klebsiella pneumoniae
Lineage: Bacteria; Pseudomonadati; Pseudomonadota; Gammaproteobacteria; Enterobacterales; Enterobacteriaceae
Also listed under: 1 other name
Description: bacterial LSU rRNA
Rfam family: Bacterial large subunit ribosomal RNA
Source: RNAcentral
GGGUUGUGAGGUUAAGCGACUAAGCGUACACGGUGGAUGCCCUGGCAGUCAGAGGCGAUGAAGGACGUGCUAAUCUGCGAAAAGCGUCGGUAAGGUGAUAUGAACCGUUAUAACCGGCGAUGUCCGAAUGGGGAAACCCAGUGCAAUUCGUUGCACUAUCGUUAACUGAAUACAUAGGUUAACGAGGCGAACCGGGGGAACUGAAACAUCUAAGUACCCCGAGGAAAAGAAAUCAACCGAGAUUCCCCCAGUAGCGGCGAGCGAACGGGGAGCAGCCCAGAGUCUGAAUCAGCUUGUGUGUUAGUGGAACGGUCUGGAAAGUCCGACGGUACAGGGUGAUAGUCCCGUACACCAAAAUGCACAGGCUGUGAACUCGAAGAGUAGGGCGGGACACGUGGUAUCCUGUCUGAAUAUGGGGGGACCAUCCUCCAAGGCUAAAUACUCCUGACUGACCGAUAGUGAACCAGUACCGUGAGGGAAAGGCGAAAAGAACCCCGGCGAGGGGAGUGAAAAAGAACCUGAAACCGUGUACGUACAAGCAGUGGGAGCACCUUCGGGUGUGACUGCGUACCUUUUGUAUAAUGGGUCAGCGACUUAUAUUCUGUAGCAAGGUUAACCGUAUAGGGGAGCCGCAGGGAAACCGAGUCUUAACUGGGCGUUAAGUUGCAGGGUAUAGACCCGAAACCCGGUGAUCUAGCCAUGGGCAGGUUGAAGGUUGGGUAACACUAACUGGAGGACCGAACCGACUAAUGUUGAAAAAUUAGCGGAUGACUUGUGGCUGGGGGUGAAAGGCCAAUCAAACCGGGAGAUAGCUGGUUCUCCCCGAAAGCUAUUUAGGUAGCGCCUCGUGAACUCAUCUUCGGGGGUAGAGCACUGUUUCGGCUAGGGGGUCAUCCCGACUUACCAACCCGAUGCAAACUACGAAUACCGAAGAAUGUUAUCACGGGAGACACACGGCGGGUGCUAACGUCCGUCGUGAAGAGGGAAACAACCCAGACCGCCAGCUAAGGUCCCAAAGUCAUGGUUAAGUGGGAAACGAUGUGGGAAGGCACAGACAGCCAGGAUGUUGGCUUAGAAGCAGCCAUCAUUUAAAGAAAGCGUAAUAGCUCACUGGUCGAGUCGGCCUGCGCGGAAGAUGUAACGGGGCUAAACCAUGCACCGAAGCUGCGGCAGCGACACUAUGUGUUGUUGGGUAGGGGAGCGUUCUGUAAGCCUGCGAAGGUGACCUGUGAGGGUUGCUGGAGGUAUCAGAAGUGCGAAUGCUGACAUAAGUAACGAUAAAGCGGGUGAAAAGCCCGCUCGCCGGAAGACCAAGGGUUCCUGUCCAACGUUAAUCGGGGCAGGGUGAGUCGACCCCUAAGGCGAGGCCGAAAGGCGUAGUCGAUGGGAAACAGGUUAAUAUUCCUGUACUUGGUGUUACUGCGAAGGGGGGACGGAGAAGGCUAUGUUAGCCGGGCGACGGUUGUCCCGGUUUAAGCAUGUAGGCUGGUUAUCCAGGCAAAUCCGGAUAAUCAAGGCUGAGGUGUGAUGACGAGGCACUACGGUGCUGAAGUAACAAAUGCCCUGCUUCCAGGAAAAGCCUCUAAGCAUCAGGUAACAUCAAAUCGUACCCCAAACCGACACAGGUGGUCAGGUAGAGAAUACCAAGGCGCUUGAGAGAACUCGGGUGAAGGAACUAGGCAAAAUGGUGCCGUAACUUCGGGAGAAGGCACGCUGGUGUGUAGGUGAAGUCCCUGCGGAUGGAGCUGAGACCAGUCGAAGAUACCAGCUGGCUGCAACUGUUUAUUAAAAACACAGCACUGUGCAAACACGAAAGUGGACGUAUACGGUGUGACGCCUGCCCGGUGCCGGAAGGUUAAUUGAUGGGGUUAUCCGUAAGGAGAAGCUCUUGAUCGAAGCCCCGGUAAACGGCGGCCGUAACUAUAACGGUCCUAAGGUAGCGAAAUUCCUUGUCGGGUAAGUUCCGACCUGCACGAAUGGCGUAAUGAUGGCCAGGCUGUCUCCACCCGAGACUCAGUGAAAUUGAACUCGCUGUGAAGAUGCAGUGUACCCGCGGCAAGACGGAAAGACCCCGUGAACCUUUACUAUAGCUUGACACUGAACAUUGAGCCUUGAUGUGUAGGAUAGGUGGGAGGCUUUGAAGCGUGGACGCCAGUCUGCGUGGAGCCAACCUUGAAAUACCACCCUUUAAUGUUUGAUGUUCUAACGUUGGCCCCUGACCGGGGUUGCGGACAGUGUCUGGUGGGUAGUUUGACUGGGGCGGUCUCCUCCCAAAGCGUAACGGAGGAGCACGAAGGUUAGCUAAUCCUGGUCGGACAUCAGGAGGUUAGUGCAAUGGCAUAAGCUAGCUUGACUGCGAGCGUGACGGCGCGAGCAGGUGCGAAAGCAGGUCAUAGUGAUCCGGUGGUUCUGAAUGGAAGGGCCAUCGCUCAACGGAUAAAAGGUACUCCGGGGAUAACAGGCUGAUACCGCCCAAGAGUUCAUAUCGACGGCGGUGUUUGGCACCUCGAUGUCGGCUCAUCACAUCCUGGGGCUGAAGUAGGUCCCAAGGGUAUGGCUGUUCGCCAUUUAAAGUGGUACGCGAGCUGGGUUUAGAACGUCGUGAGACAGUUCGGUCCCUAUCUGCCGUGGGCGCUGGAGAAUUGAGGGGGGCUGCUCCUAGUACGAGAGGACCGGAGUGGACGCAUCACUGGUGUUCGGGUUGUCAUGCCAAUGGCACUGCCCGGUAGCUAAAUGCGGAAGAGAUAAGUGCUGAAAGCAUCUAAGCACGAAACUUGCCCCGAGAUGAGUUCUCCCUGAGACUUUAAGUCUCCUGAAGGAACGUUAAAGACGAUGACGUUGAUAGGCCGGGUGUGUAAGCGCAGCGAUGCGUUGAGCUAACCGGUACUAAUGAACCGUGAGGCUUAACCUUACAACGCCGAAG